This 228-nucleotide ribosomal RNA is filed under the name uncultured Comandonia. Its description in RNAcentral is "partial 18S ribosomal RNA". It matches the Rfam family "Eukaryotic small subunit ribosomal RNA", at positions 97 to 279 of the family's 1831-position model. Lineage: Eukaryota; Discosea; Longamoebia; Acanthamoebidae. The record is from RNAcentral.
CUCAUUAAAUCAGUUAUAGUUUAUUUGAUGGUCUCUUUUGUUCUUUUUUUACCUUACUUGGAUAACCGUGGUAAUUCUAGAGCUAAUACAUGCGCAAGGUCCCAAGCGCGGAGGGUAGGGCUUCACGGCUUUAUUCUUGCAUGCGUAGCGGGAUAUAUUUAUUAGGUUAAACAAUCAGCAUUUUCAUCAUCUGGUGAUUCAUAGUAACUCUUUCGGAUCGCAUUCAUG